CCCUUAGAUGUUCUGGGCCGCACGCGCGCUACACUGAUGCAUUCAACGAGCCUAUCCUUGACCGACAGGUCCGGGUAAUCUUUGAAUCGGCAUCGUGACGGGGAUAGAUUAUUGCAAUUAUUAAUCUUCAACGAGGAAUGCCUAGUAGGCGCAAGUCAUCAGCUUGCGUCGAUUACGUCCCUGCCCUUUGUACACACCGCCCGUCGCUCCUACCGAUUGGGUGUGCUGGUGAAAUGUUCGGAUCGGCCGUUUGUCGCGGUUUCCGCGGCUCGUGGCUGAGAAGUUCAUUAAACCCUCCCACCUAGAGGAAGGAGAAGUCGUAACA
Molecule: ribosomal RNA, 325 nt
Filed under: uncultured eukaryote
Lineage: Eukaryota
Description: partial 18S ribosomal RNA
Rfam family: Eukaryotic small subunit ribosomal RNA
Source: RNAcentral